Bos indicus x Bos taurus (hybrid cattle) is the source of this 83-nucleotide small nucleolar RNA. The record is from Ensembl. Lineage: Eukaryota; Metazoa; Chordata; Mammalia; Artiodactyla; Bovidae.
UCUGGCAGUGAUGAGCCACUUGCCCUCUCUGAGAACAGAGUUCGGUAAUGAGACUCUACUCUGGACUCAAGUUCUGAGCCAGA